This 304-nucleotide ribosomal RNA is filed under the name Clostridium sp. enrichment culture DGGE gel band SulLac2. Its description in RNAcentral is "bacterial SSU rRNA". It matches the Rfam family "Bacterial small subunit ribosomal RNA", at positions 466 to 780 of the family's 1533-position model. The record is from RNAcentral. Lineage: Bacteria; Bacillati; Bacillota; Clostridia; Eubacteriales; Clostridiaceae.
AUAAUGACGGGACCUGCGGAGGAAGCCACGGGUAACUACGUGCCAGCAGCCGCGGUAAUACGUAGGUGGCAAGCGUUGUCCGGAUUUACUGGGCGUAAAGGGAGCGUAGGUGGAUAUUUAAGUGGGAUGUGAAAUACUCGGGCUUAACCUGGGUGCUGCAUUCCAAACUGGAUAUCUAGAGGCAGGAAAGGAAAUAGAAUUCCUAGUGUAGCGGUGAAAUGCGUAGAGUUAGGAAGAAUACCAGUGGCGAAGGCGAUUUUGGCUGUACUGACCUGAGGCUCAAAGCGUGGGGAGAAAAGGAUUA